RNAcentral lists this long non-coding RNA (863 nucleotides) under Monodelphis domestica (gray short-tailed opossum). RNAcentral's name for it is "lncRNA (ENSMODG00000042516.1)". The record is from RNAcentral. Lineage: Eukaryota; Metazoa; Chordata; Mammalia; Didelphimorphia; Didelphidae.
ACAUGGUCCCCUGUCACAUAGAGGCUAAUUAUUGCCUAGGGAAAGCACACCCAGGUCUUUUUACUAGUUGCCUGGAGAGUGGCUCCAAGGACUCCUAGCUUCUCCAAGGCAGCAGUCAGUAGCCCAGCAAGAUUAUCUGGGGGAGGGGAGUCAGCUGGAGAAGGAGAAUGAGUGACUGGGAUCAAGAAGAACAAGUAGAGGGUAAACUUCAGUUCUCUUCUGCCACCUCAAAAUACUAUUAUCUUGUGAUUCUGCUGGAACAACAGGAGAACAGAAGGCCUCAAAGUACCAAGAUUCAAAGAAGAAUAUGAUGUGGCAUGAAAUAGGGAAAUUAGGACAUCUCCCCAUCUCCAAUUUUGUGAUACCUCACCAAUUUUCCAUGAUGUUUCAAAUGUUGCUGACUCAUUCAUCAUGGCUAGCAGAUCCUUUAAGAUCAAAGGAUAAAGAAGUAUAGAAGAUUUUUUAAAAAUAGAUCCACAACUGAUUCUGUUCACAGUGAGUACAUCUAUAUGCUUAAAGAGCUUCAGUGGCCCAACAGUGGCAGAGAAGAGGUUCUUUCCAGCAAGAAAGAUGUGAGACACAGAAAGAGAGCAGCUAGCCUUUAGAAGCACAUCGUUUUGCACAGGAUGAUAUGACAUUCAGACUGUUCUUUAAAUAGGGCAAGGAUAGUAAGGACUACUAUCGAGAGCUGUAAGUUGCCUUAGGCACAUGUGUUGACCUCUUAUGUGCUUUCCUGGUAGGUUUCUCUAAGUAUGUACCUGCUCUCUUUGAUGGGCACAGUGUGCACUGGUGAUUGGUGAAAGAAUGUAAUCCAGAUUUGGGGGCAUUUCACAUUGUUAUGAUUCCUCAUUUCCCUAUUCUUG